ACACUGCCCUUUCACGGCUGUAACAGGGGUUCGAAUCCCCUUGGGG
RNAcentral lists this transfer RNA (46 nucleotides) under Erwinia sp. 5. Its description in RNAcentral is "transfer RNA-Glu (GAR)". RNAcentral also lists the same sequence under 1 other name. Lineage: Bacteria; Pseudomonadati; Pseudomonadota; Gammaproteobacteria; Enterobacterales; Erwiniaceae. The record is from RNAcentral.